Molecule: transfer RNA, 69 nt
Filed under: Lottia digitalis (California fingered limpet)
Lineage: Eukaryota; Metazoa; Mollusca; Gastropoda; Lottiidae
Description: tRNA-Thr
Rfam family: tRNA
About the family: Transfer RNA (tRNA) molecules are approximately 80 nucleotides in length. Their secondary structure includes four short double-helical elements and three loops (D, anti-codon, and T loops).
Source: RNAcentral
GUGAUAAGAGCCUGGGCAGGCAACAGCCUUGUAAGUUGAAGAGAAAGGAUUAGCACCCUUUUUAUCACU